RNAcentral lists this long non-coding RNA (1055 nucleotides) under Hordeum vulgare. RNAcentral describes it as "long non-coding RNA (HVUL_LNC009641)". Lineage: Eukaryota; Viridiplantae; Streptophyta; Magnoliopsida; Poales; Poaceae. The record is from RNAcentral.
UUUAUGCAAAAUAAUAAAAUAAUAAGUUUAAACAUUUUUAAACAUGCUUGAAAGUUGGAUAUUGUGAAACAGCACAAAAUUCUAGCAUUUACCAUAUUUUUCAUGUUUUAUUUUGGAUGCACAUUAAUUUAAUUAUUAGCGUUUUUAAAACAGGGUAUUUCUGAAAUAUGCAAUGCACGGGAAAAAUGCUAAUCAAAUGGAACACAUAAAAUAACAUAUAUGGGACGGUUUUAGCGUUCUGCAGCGGCCCAGUUUGUGGACCAGGCCCCAAGUGGCCGAGUGUGUAUGCAAUUACUAAAUAGAAACAAGCAAAAAAUUGGGGCAACAGGGACUUGAUCCCAGUACCUCCAACUUAAGAGUCGGAUGCGCCAACCAAUUCGGAUAUAUAGUGCCAACAUUAUAUGACGAAAUAGAUCUAACAUAAAAAAUAUGAAGUUCAAGUACGAUGCUCACAUCGGGGAAACAAAGGCCAACGGAGGGAUUGCAGCGCGGCGACGGAAGUCCACGGGGUCGGGGACGGGCGCCAGCGCUGGAUCUGGGGGUGUCCGCUCCAUUCCUGGCUGCUGAACAGGUCAAGGUUGACCAUGGCAAUGGCGGCAGAGCUCCAUCAGCUCACCAUGGCGAGCUCCUGCUCGAAGCAGAGGCCAAAGUAGGGGCUGCGAGCACCUCUCUGGGCGCAACCGCGCCAUGACAGGAGGAUGGCGUGACACGUAGGCGAGGGGCAUCCAACGGUGCGGCUACGACGGGGAUGUAGAACAGGCGAGGGACCUCCCGCCAUGGCGGCUUCGUGGCAACUAAUAGCUGCCAUGGCUAUGGCGGGCAUCUCUUGAAGAAAAAGAGAGAGACACCGGGGUGAGGGAGAGAGAGGGAAGGCAGGAGGAGAGGGAAGGAAGCACAAGAGCUGCGGGAUCCUAGCCUAGAGCUCCGAUGAGCAUUGAAGGGAGGCGGUAUUCAGUCGCUAGCAGGUUGAGGAGGCUCGGGGCGAGCAGCUGGAGCAGGAGGGAUCUCGAGGCUGGGGAAGCCUCGGGAGGAGCGGCUCCCAGGCGAUGUGGGCU